CCUACGGGAGGCAGCAGUGAGGAAUAUUGGUCAAUGGGCGGAAGCCUGAACCAGCCAAGUCGCGUGAGGGAUUAAGGCCCUGCGGGUCGUAAACCUCUUUUGCCGGGGAGCAGAGGUCCGGACGUGUCCGGGCCGGGAGAGUACCAGGAGAAAAAGCAUCGGCUAAAUCAGUGCCAGCAGCCGCGGUAAUACGGGGGAUGCGAGCGUUAACCGGAUUUAUUGGGUUCAAAGGGUGCGUAGGCGGGCAUUUAAGCCGGCGGUCAAAUGUCGGGGCUCAACCCCGGCCUGCCGUCGGAACUGGGUGCCUUGAGUGGGCGAGAAGUAUGCGGAAUGCGUGGUGUAGCGGUGAAAUGCAUAGAUAUCACGCAGAACCCCGAUUGCGAAGGCAGCAUACCGGCGCCCUACUGACGCUGAGGCACGAAAGUGUGGGUAUCGAACAGGAUUAGAUACCCUAGUAGUC
This 460-nucleotide ribosomal RNA is filed under the name uncultured bacterium. RNAcentral's name for it is "partial 16S ribosomal RNA". It matches the Rfam family "Bacterial small subunit ribosomal RNA", at positions 338 to 795 of the family's 1533-position model. The record is from RNAcentral.